RNAcentral lists this unclassified non-coding RNA (531 nucleotides) under Hevea brasiliensis (rubber tree). The record is from RNAcentral. Lineage: Eukaryota; Viridiplantae; Streptophyta; Magnoliopsida; Malpighiales; Euphorbiaceae.
AGUUCCAGACCACUAAAGGCAGCAGUAAAAAGGUAUGCUCUUGCAAAGCUAGCUCAGGGUUUCUUCUUUCCUUCAUUUAGAGGGAAGGAUUGAAGGUAUAGGGCCUUUAGCUUUCCCUGUCCCCCUUGUAUUCGGUAGAAGCUUUACAGAAUUACUAUGAAGCUAUGUGACUAGAAAUUUAUGGGUCUAGCAUGAGAUCAGUUUACUCCAAAACCGGAGCAUCUUGAGUUUAGUAGCCUCAUUUUAUGUAUUUACUUUUACAGUAUUUGUUGUGGCUUCAUUAGAACUAACUUUUUUCUGGUACUAGAUGAUUGAAAGUCACAAACUCUCCAUGCCUUAGUCUUCAUCUUUUUAUGGAAUGUAGAGUUCUGUCAUCGUGGUUCUUCAAAAAUUUGAUUGGUCAGUCAUACAUUGAUUAUAUCUAGUUCCUGGGGCUGAUCUUUGCAUUUAGAAAUCAGCAUGUGAAUAUAUGUAGUAGAAAAAACAUCAAAUGAGCUAUGUGAGUAUAUGCGGUAAAAAUUAUCGUGUACC